RNAcentral lists this ribosomal RNA (484 nucleotides) under uncultured bacterium. RNAcentral's name for it is "partial 16S ribosomal RNA". It matches the Rfam family "Bacterial small subunit ribosomal RNA", at positions 30 to 507 of the family's 1533-position model. The record is from RNAcentral.
AUUGAACGCUGGCGGCAGGCCUAACACAUGCAAGUCGAGCGGAUGAAGGGAGCUUGCUCCUGGAUUCAGCGGCGGACGGGUGAGUAAUGCCUAGGAAUCUGCCUGGUAGUGGGGGAUAACGUCCGGAAACGGGCGCUAAUACCGCAUACGUCCUGCGGGUGCAAGUGGGUGAUCUUCGGACCUCACGCUAUCAGAUGAGCCUAGGCCGGAUUGGCUAGUUGGUGGGGUAAAGGCCUACCAAGGCGACGAUCCGUAACUGGUCUGAGAGGAUGAUCAGUCACACUGGAACUGAGACACGGUCCAGACUCCUACGAGAGGCAGCAGUGGGGAAUAUUGGACAAUGGGCGAAAGCCUGAUACAGCCAUGCCGCGUGUGUGAAGAAGGUCUUCGGAUUGUAAAGCACGUUAAGUUGGGAGGAAGGGCAGUAAGUUAAUACCUUGCUGUUUUGACGUUACCAACAGAAUAAGCACCGGCUAACUUCGUG